This 131-nucleotide microRNA precursor is filed under the name Paramuricea clavata. Lineage: Eukaryota; Metazoa; Cnidaria; Anthozoa; Malacalcyonacea; Plexauridae. The record is from RNAcentral.
GCAAGGUUGUUCCAACAAGUCCGAUGCAGUCAUGACAUAACAAUAUUGUUACAACCUUGAACCUUGUGUCAUCAACCUUGUAACAUUCUUGUUAUAUCAUGACUGUAUCAGACUUGCUGGAACAACCUUGU